This 416-nucleotide ribosomal RNA is filed under the name uncultured Amphinema. RNAcentral describes it as "eukaryotic LSU rRNA". It matches the Rfam family "Eukaryotic large subunit ribosomal RNA", at positions 1 to 405 of the family's 3401-position model. Lineage: Eukaryota; Fungi; Basidiomycota; Agaricomycetes; Atheliales; Atheliaceae. The record is from RNAcentral.
UUGACCUCAAAUCAGGUAGGACUACCCGCUGAACUUAAGCAUAUCAAUAAGCGGAGGAAAAGAAACUAACAAGGAUUCCCCUAGUAACUGCGAGUGAAGCGGGAAAAGCUCAAAUUUAAAAUCUGGCGGUCGCUAUGGCCGUCCGAGUUGUAAUCUGGAGAAGUGUUUUCCGCGUCGGACCGUGUACAAGUCUUCUGGAACGGAGCGUCAUAGAGGGUGAGAAUCCCGUCUCUGACACGGACUGCCGAUGCUUUAUGUGAUACGCUCUCGAAGAGUCGAGUUGUUUGGGAAUGCAGCUCAAAAUGGGUGGUAAAUUCCAUCUAAAGCUAAAUAUUGGCGAGAGACCGAUAGCGAACAAGUACCGUGAGGGAAAGAUGAAAAGCACUUUGGAAAGAGAGUUAAACAGUACGUGAAAU